Molecule: long non-coding RNA, 2222 nt
Organism: Taeniopygia guttata (zebra finch)
Lineage: Eukaryota; Metazoa; Chordata; Aves; Passeriformes; Estrildidae
Source: Ensembl
GCAGAGUGACUCCUAAUGUUAGUAAGAUCUAAGUUGCACGCAAAGCAAAUCCAAAUCCAGAACAUUUUUAGAUGGUUUUUGUUAAGGCAUGAAAGAUGAUUUACACAAAUAAAUAGCAUGCAAAAAAAAAAAAAAAGUCCUUACAGAAAAAAGGAAGUUACUUAUGCCACAGUGAAACAUCAGUCUUAAAGUAACAAAUUCAGCUAAUCUGAAGGUGAUUUUAUUUUUACCAAAAAAACAGAACCUUUUUGUUUCUUUCUUUAUUCUUUUGUAUAUAGCAAUUCACUUUUAUUUUUUCUUCCACAGUACAAAAGGCUUAAAAAUGGGUUAGGGGUGCAUUGCUUAUUGCAGUACUUAUGUCAGUUUGUGAGGGUUGUUUGAUGACUUUGACAGAAUAAAUAUCUAACCAGUUAUCCUUGUUACUGCUUUGCCAGUUCAACAUUAUUUAGUUAUUCAGCUUUUGCAAUAAAUGUUCUGAAUUUCUGAUUGUGUUGUGUUAGUUCUUGGGCAGAUUCCUAAGGGAUUUUAUUCCUAUUAAUUUCUCUUUCAUCCUGUUAUUGUUGGUUGAUUUGUUUCUUUGCUUCAUUCUGAAUUUCCAGUUAUUUUUUUAAGCAUACCAUGGUCCAUUAAGUUCAUAUCUAUAUGUGUAAGACUGGAAUAUACAGCAAAUGAUAAAUCUGAAGGUCUAUAUUCUGACAUUCUUAUGUAAGUAGGAACUUAUUCAAAAUUAAUUAUUUGACUUGGGUAAAAUUUUACUUACUCAUUACAAGGAUGACAGAAUCUAGCCAACAUUUGUUAGGCCAACAUAGCCAUAUGGAAUAAGGAUCCUUGCAUGAAUCUCUGUAAAAGUACAGGGGUAGCAUAUAGGAAAUACAGCACUUAUCACACUUUGGUCUUUCUUUUGAGAGUAGAAUUAAGUCAUAUCAAAAUAGAGUAAAUUCUUUCCUACAAGGAAAAUUUGAGUAGCUGCAUAAUAAUUUUUGUUGCAGCACAGGUAAAAAGCAACAAAAUAAAAAAAGAAAAUGCUGAACAACCUUGAAAAAUAUGUGUCAGUAAGAGUACCUAUUUUUGAACAUGCUGAGUUUUAAAGCAGAUAUGUACUGAGUUCUAGAUUAAGACCAGAAAUAUAACAAUUAUUUGAAAACCCAAAUAGCACCAACCAGUUUAAAUUACAAAUAGUUUUUUAAACAGAAUAUAUUUGAAAAUAUUUUGAUCAUGGACAGAAAAUAAAAGAUUUUACUAUUGCUGCAAAAAAAGAACUAUAGUCUGUUCCAACCUUCAAUACUUUGUCCUAUUAUCAACCUGUGCAGGAGAAGCUAAAACAAAUUUGGUUUCAAUUGCUAGCAGGUGAAAAUUUUAUCUAAUUUUCUCAAAUUCUGUGUAAUUUUAGAAUAUUAAGGCCUUACCCAGCUUUGAAAUGGUUAGUAAAUGAAAAAGACAGGAGAAAAAAAAAAGCUGAGAAAGAAAGAAGAAAAAGAGAGCAAGAGAGACAGAGAAGGAAGGAAGGAAGGAAGGAAGGAAGGAAGGAAGGAAGGAAGGAAGGAAGGAAAUAUCUGCAGCACUGAGAACUGCAUCUUAAUUUCAUUUCAGCUAAAUUAAUGUUUCCCAGAUGUUUCCACAGAAUUUGAAUUUGGCCCUAAACAUGUAUUUAGUAAGUGCUCGUUCCUUCACAACCAUUUGGUUGGCUCAAUCAGUAGUAGUACUACUAUUGUCCAAAACUCAGGAAAAAAAGAGGAAAAAAAAAAAAAAGAAAGGAAAAAACCUUCAGGAAUUUUGUGAUAUCUCAGAUGAGGAGCUUUAAAAUUUUCAAAUCCCACUUCACCCAAUGAGAUGACAGAUGAGUAUUGGUGACUAUUCAGUUUUGCUAUCUUUGAGGCUAAAUAUUACUUCAAAUUAUUAAUAACCUGUCAUGAUACAGAUGCCUCUCUGAUAUCAGUUCUGGCUUUUUGCUUUCCUUCAGACUGAGUGUCUUAAUUUAUUUAUUUGUUAAGGCACAUAUUUAAAAGACUGCUAAAAACGUUUGCCAAAUAUUUCUUUCAUAGUCCUCUGUUUUUACUGUCACUGACCAAAUCCCUUAGUCCAAAUAGAAAAUUGAAAGUAUGAAUAGACAUAGUUACUUAGUCCUACUUUAUUCCUAUGCUGUAUUAACUCUUACUAAAGACAGAGCAGCCAGCAACACUUGGGGAAAAAAAACAAACAAACAAACAACAACAAAAAAAAAA